CAUACAAGUCGAACGGAAAGGCCCUGCCUUUGUGGGGUGCUCGAGUGGCGAACGGGUGAGUAACACGUGAGUAACCUGCCCUUGACUUUGGGAUAACUUCAGGAAACUGGGGCUAAUACCGGAUAGGAGCUCCUGCUGCAUGGUGGGGGUUGAAAGUUUCGGCGGUUGGGGAUGGACUCGCGGCUUAUCAGCUUGUUGGUGGGGUAGUGGCUUACCAAGGCUUUGACGGGUAGCCGGCCUGAGAGGGUGACCGGCCACAUUGGGACUGAGAUACGGCCCAGACUCCUACGGGAGGCAGCAGUGGGGAAUAUUGCACAAUGGGCGGAAGCCUGAUGCAACAACGCCGCGUGCGGGAUGACGGCCUUCGGGUUGUAAACCGCUUUCGCCUGUGACGAAGCGUGAGUGACGGUAAUGGGUAAAGAAGCACCGGCUAACUACGUGCCAGCAGCCGCGGUGAUACGUAGGGUGCGAGCGUUGUCCGGAUUUAUUGGGCGUAAAGGGCUCGUAGGUGGUUGAUCGCGUCGGAAGUGUAAUCUUGGGGCUUAACCCUGAGCGUGCUUUCGAUACGGGUUGACUUGAGGAAGGUAGGGGGGAAUGGAAUUCCUGGUGGAGCGGUGGAAUGCGCAGAUAUCAGGAGGAACACCAGUGGCGAAGGCGGUUCUCUGGGCCUUUCCUGACGCUGAGGAGCGAAAGCGUGGGGAGCGAACAGGCUUAGAUACCCUGGUAGUCCACGCUGUAAACGGUGGGUACUAGGUGUGGGGUCCAUUCCACGGGUUCCGUGCCGUAGCUAACGCUUUAAGUACCCCGCCUGGGGAGUACGGCCGCAAGGCUAAAGCUCAAAGGAAUUGACGGGGCCCC
RNAcentral lists this ribosomal RNA (858 nucleotides) under uncultured bacterium. Its description in RNAcentral is "bacterial SSU rRNA". It matches the Rfam family "Bacterial small subunit ribosomal RNA", at positions 54 to 922 of the family's 1533-position model. The record is from RNAcentral.